RNAcentral lists this small RNA (702 nucleotides) under Curvularia americana. RNAcentral's name for it is "eukaryotic LSU rRNA". The stretch from base 490 to 702 matches the Rfam family "Eukaryotic large subunit ribosomal RNA", at positions 1 to 213 of the family's 3401-position model. Lineage: Eukaryota; Fungi; Ascomycota; Dothideomycetes; Pleosporales; Pleosporaceae. The record is from RNAcentral.
CAAUUAAAAUAUGAAGGCCCUUCAAACCGGCUGGAUUAUUUUUAUUCACCCUUGUCUUUUGCGCACUUGUUGUUUCCUGGGCGGGUUCGCUCGCCACCAGGACCACAUCAUAAACCUUUUUUGUUAAUGCAAUCAGCGUCAGUAUAACAAAUGUAAAUCAUUUACAACUUUCAACAACGGAUCUCUUGGUUCUGGCAUCGAUGAAGAACGCAGCGAAAUGCGAUACGUAGUGUGAAUUGCAGAAUUCAGUGAAUCAUCGAAUCUUUGAACGCACAUUGCGCCCUUUGGUAUUCCAAAGGGCAUGCCUGUUCGAGCGUCAUUUGUACCCUCAAGCUUUGCUUGGUGUUGGGCGUUGUUUGUCUUUGGUCCGCCCAAAGACUCGCCUUAAAACAAUUGGCAGCCGGCCUACUGGUUUCGCAGCGCAGCACAUUUUUGCGCUUGCAAUCAGCAAAAGAGGUUGGUCAUCCAUCAAGACUACAUUUAUACGUUUGACCUCGGAUCAGGUAGGGAUACCCGCUGAACUUAAGCAUAUCAAUAAGCGGAGGAAAAGAAACCAACAGGGAUUGCCCUAGUAACGGCGAGUGAAGCGGCAACAGCUCAAAUUUGAAAUCUGGCUCUUUCAGAGUCCGAGUUGUAAUUUGCAGAGGGCGCUUUGGCUUUGGCAGCGGUCCAAGUUCCUUGGAACAGGACGUCACAGAGGGU